RNAcentral lists this ribosomal RNA (497 nucleotides) under uncultured bacterium. RNAcentral's name for it is "partial 16S ribosomal RNA". It matches the Rfam family "Bacterial small subunit ribosomal RNA", at positions 28 to 507 of the family's 1533-position model. The record is from RNAcentral.
GAUGAACGCUGGCGGCGUGCCUAAUACAUGCAAGUCGAGCGAACGGACGAGAAGCUUGCUUUUCUGAUGUUAGCGUCGGACGGGUGAGUAACACGUGGAUAACCUACCUAUAAGACUGGGAUAACUUCGGGAAACCGGAGCUAAUACCGGCUAAUAUUUUGAACCGCAUGGUUCAAAAGUGAAAGACGGUCUUGCUGUCACUUAUAGAUGGAUCCGCGCUGCAUUAGCUAGUUGGUAAGGUAACGGCUUACCAAGGCAACGAUGCAUAGCCGACCUGAGAGGGUGAUCGGCCACACUGGAACUGAGACACGGUCCAGACUCCUACGGGAGGCAGCAGUAGGGAAUCUUCCGCAAUGGGCGAAAGCCUGACGGAGCAACGCCGCGUGAGUGAUGAAGGUCUUAGGAUCGUAAAACUCUGUUAUUAGGGAAGAACAUAUGUGUAAGUAACUGUGCACAUCUUGACGGUACCUAAUCAGAAAGCCACGGCUAACUACGUG